UGGCGAACGGGUGAGUAACACGUUGGUGAUCUGCCUUGCACUUCGGGAUAAGCCUGGGAAACUGGGUCUAAUACCGGAUAGGACCAUGCUUUAGUGUGUGUGGUGGAAAGUUUUUCGGUGCAAGAUGAGCCCGCGGCCUAUCAGCUUGUUGGUGGGGUAAUGGCCUACCAAGGCGACGACGGGUAGCCGGCCUGAGAUGGUGUACGGCCACAUUGGGACUGAGACACGGCCCAG
This 234-nucleotide ribosomal RNA is filed under the name uncultured Actinomycetales bacterium. Its description in RNAcentral is "partial 16S ribosomal RNA". It matches the Rfam family "Bacterial small subunit ribosomal RNA", at positions 96 to 334 of the family's 1533-position model. The record is from RNAcentral. Lineage: Bacteria; Bacillati; Actinomycetota; Actinomycetes; Actinomycetales.